GUUUCAGCCUCGAUCCGCCGAAUGUCUACAGACACGUCGAGCCGGAUAUACCGGUCAUCAUCGCUUUCUGGCACGGCCAGCAUCUCAUGAUGCCGUUCCUGAAACUCAAGCGGUAUUCCGCCAGGGUUCUGAUCUCGCGCCAUCGUGACGGUGAGAUCAAUGCGAUCGCGGCGGAACGCCUCAAUGUCGGGACUGUGCGCGGCUCCGGCGAUCAUGGAACGGCAUUUCACCGCAAGGGCGGCGUCGGCGCGUUCAAGAUG
This 260-nucleotide unclassified non-coding RNA is filed under the name Hevea brasiliensis (rubber tree). The record is from RNAcentral. Lineage: Eukaryota; Viridiplantae; Streptophyta; Magnoliopsida; Malpighiales; Euphorbiaceae.